UAGGGAAUCUUCCGCAAUGGACGCAAGUCUGACGGAGCAACGCCGCGUGAGUGAAGAAGGAUUUCGGUUCGUAAAACUCUGUUGUUAGAGAAGAACAGCGCAUAGAGUAACUGUUAUGCGUGUGACGGUAUCUAACCAGAAAGCCACGGCUAACUACGUGCCAGUAGCCGCGGUAAUACGUAGGUGGCAAGCGUUGUCCGGAUUUAUUGGGCGUAAAGCGAGCGCAGGCGGUCAAUUAAGUCUGAUGUGAAAGCCCCCGGCUCAACCGGGGAGGGUCAUUGGAAACUGGUUGACUUGAGUGCAGAAGAGGAGAGUGGAAUUCCAUGUGUAGCGGUGAAAUGCGUAGAUAUAUGGAGGAACACCAGUGGCGAAGGCGACUCUCUGGUCUGUAACUGACGCUGAGGCUCGAAAGCGUGGGUAGCAAACAGG
This 429-nucleotide ribosomal RNA is filed under the name Bacteroidota bacterium. Its description in RNAcentral is "Bacteroidetes bacterium partial 16S ribosomal RNA". It matches the Rfam family "Bacterial small subunit ribosomal RNA", at positions 355 to 776 of the family's 1533-position model. The record is from RNAcentral. Lineage: Bacteria; Pseudomonadati; Bacteroidota.